AUACACUGAAAACAAAAAUCAACAUUUCAUGAUGGAACGACUGAAGAGCUGUUCAGUUCAUGAACCAUCUUACAGUCAGUGCAAAGAAACUGGGAGGUUCUUGCUUUAAUAGCCCUGAGUCUCUCAGAUGGUCAG
Colossoma macropomum (tambaqui) is the source of this 135-nucleotide long non-coding RNA. RefSeq lists it as uncharacterized. The record is from RefSeq and is a predicted model, not a curated record. The transcript is spliced from 3 exons. NCBI's taxonomy places the organism in Eukaryota, Metazoa, Chordata, Actinopteri, Characiformes, Serrasalmidae.